GAGUUUGAUCCUGGCUCAGGAUGAACGCUGGCGGCGUGCCUAAUACAUGCAAGUCGAGCGAACGGACGAGAAGCUUGCUUCUCUGAUGUUAGCGGCGGACGGGUGAGUAACACGUGGAUAACCUACCUAUAAGACUGGGAUAACUUCGGGAAACCGGAGCUAAUACCGGAUAAUAUUUUGAACCGCAUGGUUCAAAAGUGAAAGACGGUCUUGCUGUCACUUAUAGAUGGAUCCGCGCUGCAUUAGCUAGUUGGUAAGGUAACGGCUUACCAAGGCAACGAUGCAUAGCCGACCUGAGAGGGUGAUCGGCCACACUGGAACUGAGACACGGUCCAGACUCCUACGGGAGGCAGCAGUAGGGAAUCUUCCGCAAUGGGCGAAAGCCUGACGGAGCAACGCCGCGUGAGUGAUGAAGGUCUUCGGAUCGUAAAACUCUGUUAUUAGGGAAGAACAUAUGUGUAAGUAACUGUGCACAUCUUGACGGUACCUAAUCAGAAAG
RNAcentral lists this ribosomal RNA (499 nucleotides) under uncultured microorganism. RNAcentral's name for it is "bacterial SSU rRNA". It matches the Rfam family "Bacterial small subunit ribosomal RNA", at positions 9 to 490 of the family's 1533-position model. The record is from RNAcentral.